UACGGAGGGUGCGAGCGUUGUUCGGAAUCAUUGGGCGUAAAGGGCGUGUAGGUGGUCUGUUAAGUCAUGUGUGAAAGCCCUCAGCUCAACUGGGGAAGUGCGCAUGAAACUGACAGGCUAGAGUACCGAAGAGGAAGGUGGAAUUCCCGGUGUAGCGGUGAAAUGCGUAGAUAUCAGGAGGAACACCGGUGGCGAAGGCGGUUCUCUGGGCAUGUCCUGACGCUGAGGAGCGAAAGUGUGGGGAGCGAACAGG
RNAcentral lists this ribosomal RNA (253 nucleotides) under uncultured bacterium. RNAcentral describes it as "partial 16S ribosomal RNA". It matches the Rfam family "Bacterial small subunit ribosomal RNA", at positions 524 to 776 of the family's 1533-position model. The record is from RNAcentral.